RNAcentral lists this RNase P RNA (325 nucleotides) under Patescibacteria group bacterium. RNAcentral's name for it is "RNase P RNA component class A". It matches the Rfam family "Bacterial RNase P class A". From Rfam's summary of the family: Ribonuclease P (RNase P) is a ubiquitous endoribonuclease, found in archaea, bacteria and eukarya as well as chloroplasts and mitochondria. Its best characterised activity is the generation of mature 5'-ends of tRNAs by cleaving the 5'-leader elements of precursor-tRNAs. The record is from RNAcentral.
GGACCGAUACAGACGAUUGCUCUUAGCAAUAAGAGAGGAAAGUCCGAACACAGGCAGAUUAUUCUGCAGGAUGGUAGCGGGUAACGCCCGUCCGCCGCGAGGCGCGAGGUGCGAACAGUGACGUCGGAGGCGAAAGCCAAUGACAUCCUUCGGGAUGAACUUCAUUGAGAGAUGAAGAUGAAACGGCCAAAUCCUUACUUCUGUGCAAGGCCGUGCUCCUUUACCGGAGAGCGCCGCUUGAGGGUGACAGUAAUGUCAUUCCCAGAUAGAUAAUCGUCCGUGCAGCAAUGCAUGACAGAAUUCGGCUUAUCGUAUCGGUCGACAC